GAUGAAGAACGUAGCGAAAUGCGAUAAGUAAUGUGAAUUGCAGAAUUCAGUGAAUCAUCGAAUCUUUGAACGCACAUUGCGCCCGCCAGUAUUCUGGCGGGCAUGCCUGUUCGAGCGUCAUUUCAACCAUCAAGCCCCCGGCUUGUGUUGGGGACCUGCGGCUGCCGCAGGCCCUGAAAACCAGUGGCGGGCUCGCUGUCACACCGAGCGUAGUAGAUUUUCAUCUCGCUCAGGGCGUGCUGCGGGUUCCGGCCGUAAAAAGCCUUAUUUACCCAAGGUUGACCUCGGAUCAGGUAGGGAGACCCGCUGAACUUAAGCAUAUCAAUAAGCGGAGGA
Molecule: unclassified non-coding RNA, 336 nt
Filed under: soil metagenome
Description: partial contains 5.8S ribosomal RNA, internal transcribed spacer 2, and large subunit ribosomal RNA
Rfam family: 5.8S ribosomal RNA (bases 1-120)
Source: RNAcentral